This 987-nucleotide ribosomal RNA is filed under the name fungal sp. NIS9. RNAcentral's name for it is "eukaryotic LSU rRNA". The stretch from base 153 to 306 matches the Rfam family "5.8S ribosomal RNA". Lineage: Eukaryota; Fungi. The record is from RNAcentral.
GCUUCUGUGGAGUGAGGGGCUUCGGGCUCGACCUCCACCCUUUGUGAACACAACUUGUUGCUUCGGGGGCGACCCUGCCGUUUCGACGGCGAGCGCCCCCGGAGGCCUUCAAACACUGCAUCUUUGCGUCGGAGUUUAAGUAAAUUAAACAAAACUUUCAACAACGGAUCUCUUGGUUCUGGCAUCGAUGAAGAACGCAGCGAAAUGCGAUAAGUAAUGUGAAUUGCAGAAUUCAGUGAAUCAUCGAAUCUUUGAACGCACAUUGCGCCCCUUGGUAUUCCGAGGGGCAUGCCUGUUCGAGCGUCAUUUCACCACUCAAGCCUCGCUUGGUAUUGGGCGCCGCGGUGUUCCGCGCGCCUCAAAGUCUCCGGCUGAGCUGUCCGUCUCUAAGCGUUGUGAUUUCAUUAAUCGCUUCGGAGCGCGGGCGGUCGCGGCCGUUAAAUCUUUUAUAAGGUUGACCUCGGAUCAGGUAGGGAUACCCGCUGAACUUAAGCAUAUCAAUAGGCGGAGGAAUCUUUCUGAGUGAGGGCUUCGGGCUCGACCUCCAACCCUUUGUGAACACAACUUGUUGCUUCGGGGGCGACCCUGCCGUUUCGACGGCGAGCGCCCCCGGAGGCCUUCAAACACUGCAUCUUUGCGUCGGAGUUUAAGUAAAUUAAACAGACUUUCAACACGGAUCUCUUGGUUCUGGCAUGAUGAAGAAGCAGCGGAAUGCGGAUAAGUAAUGGUGAAUGCGAAUUCGUGAAAUCAUGAAGCUUUUGAACGCCAUAUGCGCCCUUGGUAAUUCGAGGGGCAUGCUGUUGAGGCGUCAUUUCACCUCGGCCUCGCUGUAAUUGGGGCGGCCGCGGGUCCCGCGCCAUCCAGUCUCGCCUACUAAUCUCCUAGCCUGUGAUUUCAUUAUCCUACGAACGCGAGCGUGCGCCCUACCUUUUGAGGUACUCGGAUCGUAUGGAUACCGCUCACUAGCAUAUACCUAUAACGGCAGGG